GACGAACGCUGGCGGCGUGCUUAACACAUGCAAGUCGAACGGAAAGGCCCUGCUUUUGUGGGGUGCUCGAGUGGCGAACGGGUGAGUAACACGUGAGUAACCUGCCCUUGACUUUGGGAUAACUUCAGGAAACUGGGGCUAAUACCGGAUAGGAGCUCCUGCUGCAUGGUGGGGGUUGGAAAGUUUCGGCGGUUGGGGAUGGACUCGCGGCUUAUCAGCUUGUUGGUGGGGUAGUGGCUUACCAAGGCUUUGACGGGUAGCCGGCCUGAGAGGGUGACCGGCCACAUUGGGACUGAGAUACGGCCCAGACUCCUACGGGAGGCAGCAGUGGGGAAUAUUGCACAAUGGGCGGGAGCCUGAUGCAGCAACGCCGCGUGCGGGAUGACGACCUUCGGGUUGUAAACCGCUUUCGCCUGUGACGAAGCGUGAGUGACGGUAAUGGGUAAAGAAGCACCGGCUAACUACGUG
This 468-nucleotide ribosomal RNA is filed under the name uncultured bacterium. Its description in RNAcentral is "partial 16S ribosomal RNA". It matches the Rfam family "Bacterial small subunit ribosomal RNA", at positions 28 to 507 of the family's 1533-position model. The record is from RNAcentral.